RNAcentral lists this transfer RNA (69 nucleotides) under Howella brodiei (pelagic basslet). RNAcentral describes it as "tRNA-Glu". It matches the Rfam family "tRNA". From Rfam's summary of the family: Transfer RNA (tRNA) molecules are approximately 80 nucleotides in length. Lineage: Eukaryota; Metazoa; Chordata; Actinopteri; Acropomatiformes; Howellidae. The record is from RNAcentral.
GUUCGUGUAGUUGAAUUACAACGGUGGUUUUUCAGACCAUUAGUCCUGGUUAAAAUCCGGGCGGGAAUU